RNAcentral lists this long non-coding RNA (319 nucleotides) under Rattus norvegicus (Norway rat). Its description in RNAcentral is "long non-coding RNA NONRATT016863". Lineage: Eukaryota; Metazoa; Chordata; Mammalia; Rodentia; Muridae. The record is from RNAcentral.
GGGCACCGAGAACUUAGACAACGUGGCUCUUUCUUCCAGUCCUAUUCAUUCAGGCCGCGCCUCUCCAUGUCUUGACCGUGACAACAGCAGUGACUAACUCCGAAUGCUGCAGUCUCCUCCCUGUUCCCAGCCCAUGGUGCUAGAUGAAUUAAAUGGAAAUUUGAAGGACCAGUAACUUUGGGGUGGACAGGACAAUCCUUAAAAGUCCGACUCCUUGUUUUCUCCUGCCUCCUCUGAAGCAUGUACUGGUUUAGCUAAUGAAAUUGCAUAUUUAUCAGCAAGUCCCCUGUCUAAUAAAAGUGAAUUGCAUUUGCUUUUA